This 1401-nucleotide ribosomal RNA is filed under the name uncultured bacterium. RNAcentral describes it as "bacterial SSU rRNA". It matches the Rfam family "Bacterial small subunit ribosomal RNA". The record is from RNAcentral.
AGAGUUUGAUCCUGGCUCAGAUUGAACGCUGGCGGCAGGCCUAACACAUGCAAGUCGAACGGUAACAGGAAGAAGCUUGCUUCUUUGCUGACGAGUGGCGGACGGGUGAGUAAUGUCUGGGAAACUGCCUGAUGGAGGGGGAUAACUACUGGAAACGGUAGCUAAUACCGCAUAACGUCGCAAGACCAAAGAGGGGGACCUUCGGGCCUCUUGCCAUCGGAUGUGCCCAGAUGGGAUUAGCUUGUUGGUGGGGUAACGGCUCACCAAGGCGACGAUCCCUAGCUGGUCUGAGAGGAUGACCAGCCACACUGGAACUGAGACACGGUCCAGACUCCUACGGGAGGCAGCAGUGGGGAAUAUUGCACAAUGGGCGCAAGCCUGAUGCAGCCAUGCCGCGUGUAUGAAGAAGGCCUUCGGGUUGUAAAGUACUUUCAGCGGGGAGGAAGGGAGUAAAGUUAAUACCUUUGCUCAUUGACGUUACCCGCAGAAGAAGCACCGGCUAACUCCGUGCCAGCAGCCGCGGUAAUACGGAGGGUGCAAGCGUUAAUCGGAAUUACUGGGCGUAAAGCGCACGCAGGCGGUUUGUUAAGUCAGAUGUGAAAUCCCCGGGCUCAACCUGGGAACUGCAUCUGAUACUGGCAAGCUUGAGUCUCGUAGAGGGGGGUAGAAUUCCAGGUGUAGCGGUGAAAUGCGUAGAGAUCUGGAGGAAUACCGGUGGCGAAGGCGGCCCCCUGGACGAAGACUGACGCUCAGGUGCGAAAGCGUGGGGAGCAAACAGGAUUAGAUACCCUGGUAGUCCACGCCGUAAACGAUGUCGACUUGGAGGUUGUGCCCUUGAGGCGUGGCUUCCGGAGCUAACGCGUUAAGUCGACCGCCUGGGGAGUACGGCCGCAAGGUUAAAACUCAAAUGAAUUGACGGGGGCCCGCACAAGCGGUGGAGCAUGUGGUUUAAUUCGAUGCAACGCGAAGAACCUUACCUGGUCUCGACAUCCACAGAACUUUCCAGAGAUGGAUUGGUGCCUUCGGGAACUGUGAGACAGGUGCUGCAUGGCUGUCGUCAGCUCGUGUUGUGAAAUGUUGGGUUAAGUCCCGCAACGAGCGCAACCCUUAUCCUUUGUUGCCAGCGGUCCGGCCGGGAACUCAAAGGAGACUGCCAGUGAUAAACUGGAGGAAGGUGGGGAUGACGUCAAGUCAUCAUGGCCCUUACGACCAGGGCUACACACGUGCUACAAUGGCGCAUACAAAGAGAAGCGACCUCGCGAGAGCAAGCGGACCUCAUAAAGUGCGUCGUAGUCCGGAUUGGAGUCUGCAACUCGACUCCAUGAAGUCGGAAUCGCUAGUAAUCGUGGAUCAGAAUGCCACGGUGAAUACGUUCCCGGGCCUUGCACUCACCGCCCGUCA